UGGGGAAUAUUGCACAAUGGGGGAAACCCUGAUGCAGCGACGCCGCGUGAGCGAAGAAGGUUUUCGAAUCGUAAAGCUCUGUCCUAUGGGAAGAUAAUGACGGUACCAUAGGAGGAAGCCCCGGCUAACUACGUGCCAGCAGCCGCGGUAAUACGUAGGGGGCAAGCGUUGUCCGGAAUCACUGGGCGUAAAGUGUUCGCAGGCGGAAAUGCAAGUCAGUUGUGAAAGGCAGAGGCUCAACCUCUGUAAGCAAUUGAAACUGUAUUUCUUGAGAUGUGGAGAGGCAAGUGGAAUUCCUAGUGUAGCGGUGAAAUGCGUAGAUAUUAGGAAGAAUACCGGUGGCGAAGGCGACUUGCUGGACACAAACUGACGCUGAGGAACGAAAGCGUGGGUAGCAAACAGG
RNAcentral lists this ribosomal RNA (403 nucleotides) under Fusobacteriota bacterium. RNAcentral's name for it is "Fusobacteria bacterium partial 16S ribosomal RNA". It matches the Rfam family "Bacterial small subunit ribosomal RNA", at positions 355 to 776 of the family's 1533-position model. The record is from RNAcentral. Lineage: Bacteria; Fusobacteriati; Fusobacteriota.